RNAcentral lists this ribosomal RNA (253 nucleotides) under uncultured bacterium. RNAcentral describes it as "partial 16S ribosomal RNA". It matches the Rfam family "Bacterial small subunit ribosomal RNA", at positions 524 to 776 of the family's 1533-position model. The record is from RNAcentral.
UACGAAGGGGGCUAGCGUUGCUCGGAAUUAUUGGGCGUAAAGAGCUUGUAGGCGGUUUGUCGCGUCUGCCGUGAAAAUUCGAGGCUCAACCUCGAACUUGCGGUGGGUACGGGCAGACUAGAGUGUGGUAGGGGAGACUGGAAUUCCUGGUGUAGCGGUGAAAUGCGCAGAUAUCAGGAGGAACACCGAUGGCGAAGGCAGGUCUCUGGGCAUUAACUGACGCUGAGGAGCGAAAGCAUGGGGAGCGAACAGG